GAUGAACGCUGGCGGCGUGCCUAAUACAUGCAAGUCGAGCGAACAGACGAGGAGCUUGCUCCUCUGACGUUAGCGGCGGACGGGUGAGUAACACGUGGAUAACCUACCUAUAAGACUGGGAUAACUUCGGGAAACCGGAGCUAAUACCGGAUAAUAUAUUGAACCGCAUGGUUCAAUAGUGAAAGACGGUUUUGCUGUCACUUAUAGAUGGAUCCGCGCCGCAUUAGCUAGUUGGUAAGGUAACGGCUUACCAAGGCAACGAUGCGUAGCCCACCUGAGAGGGUGAUCGGCCACACUGGAACUGAGACACGGUCCAGACUCCUACGGGAGGCAGCAGUAGGGAAUCUUCCGCAAUGGGCGAAAGCCUGACGGAGCAACGCCGCGUGAGUGAUGAAGGUCUUCGGAUCGUAAAACUCUGUUAUUAGGGAAGAACAAAUGUGUAAGUAACUAUGCACGUCUUGACGGUACCUAAUCAGAAAGCCACGGCUAACUACGUG
This 497-nucleotide ribosomal RNA is filed under the name uncultured bacterium. Its description in RNAcentral is "partial 16S ribosomal RNA". It matches the Rfam family "Bacterial small subunit ribosomal RNA", at positions 28 to 507 of the family's 1533-position model. The record is from RNAcentral.